ACUCGAGUGGCGAACGGGUGAGUAAUACGUGGGUGAUCUGCCCUGCACUUCGGGAUAAGCUUGGGAAACUGGGUCUAAUACCGGAUAGGAGCCAUCUUUAGUGUGGUGGUUGGAAAGUUUUUUCGGUGUAGGAUGAGCUCGCGGCCUAUCAGCUUGUUGGUGGGGUAAUGGCCUACCAAGGCGGCGACGGGUAGCCGGCCUGAGAGGGUGUACGGCCACAUUGGGACUGAGAUACGGCCCAG
This 242-nucleotide ribosomal RNA is filed under the name uncultured Actinomycetales bacterium. RNAcentral describes it as "partial 16S ribosomal RNA". It matches the Rfam family "Bacterial small subunit ribosomal RNA", at positions 89 to 334 of the family's 1533-position model. Lineage: Bacteria; Bacillati; Actinomycetota; Actinomycetes; Actinomycetales. The record is from RNAcentral.